RNAcentral lists this ribosomal RNA (399 nucleotides) under uncultured bacterium. Its description in RNAcentral is "bacterial SSU rRNA". It matches the Rfam family "Bacterial small subunit ribosomal RNA", at positions 356 to 773 of the family's 1533-position model. The record is from RNAcentral.
GGGGAAUAUUGCACAAUGGAGGGAACUCUGAUGCAGCGACGCCGCGUGAACGAAGAAGGCUUUCGAGUCGUAAAGUUCUUUUAUAUGGGAAGAUAAUGACGGUACCAUAAGAAAAAGCCCCGGCUAACUACGUGCCAGCAGCCGCGGUAAUACGUAGGGGGCUAGCGUUGUCCGGAAUCACUGGGCGUAAAGGGUUCGCAGGCGGAAAUGCAAGUCAGGUGUAAAAGGCAGUAGCUUAACUACUGUAAGCAUUUGAAACUGCAUAUCUUGAGAAGAGUAGAGGUAAGUGGAAUUUUUAGUGUAGCGGUGAAAUGCGUAGAUAUUAAAAAGAAUACCGGUGGCGAAGGCGACUUACUGGGCUCAUUCUGACGCUGAGGAACGAAAGCGUGGGUAGCAAAC